RNAcentral lists this small nuclear RNA (192 nucleotides) under Macrophomina phaseolina MS6. RNAcentral's name for it is "U2 spliceosomal RNA". It matches the Rfam family "U2 spliceosomal RNA". Rfam says of the family: U2 is a small nuclear RNA (snRNA) component of the spliceosome (involved in pre-mRNA splicing). Lineage: Eukaryota; Fungi; Ascomycota; Dothideomycetes; Botryosphaeriales; Botryosphaeriaceae. The record is from Rfam by way of RNAcentral.
UCAGCUCUCUUUGACGUUUGGCUCUGAUCAAGUGAAGUACUGUUCUUCGCAAUUUAAUCUCUUGCGAGGACUCUACGGGGUUCCUGAGGUUAAAUCAGUUUUUGGAUCCGGCUCCUAGUCCCUGAGCGCCGCUUAUACUCUUGGAGCACAGUGUCGCCUCUACUGCACUGUCGGGGGCUGACGCGAAGGGCA